Molecule: long non-coding RNA, 724 nt
Organism: Vidua chalybeata
Lineage: Eukaryota; Metazoa; Chordata; Aves; Passeriformes; Viduidae
Exons: 2
Source: RefSeq, a predicted model, not a curated record
CGGGGCUCUAAGGAAGAAGCGACGUGAAAUACGCUCAAAGAGUCUUUGAGCGCCUGCGAAAAGCUGGACACAGCCUGUGCACGCACUGUCAGUAACCUACGGAAAUAACAGGAGAAAAUAAGCGGGGAGAAAGUUACCGGCUGACACCCCGCUGCCCCGGCGGGACGGAGCCGCUGGCCGUGCGCCUUUAAAGCCGUUUCCUCUCACGCCUGAGCACGAAGCUACCGGGGCGGGUGACGCCGUCGCGUUUUCUGUAACCCCCGCAGCGAUUCCAGCAGGACAGCGGCUCUUUCCCCGCUCUGGCCACCGGCACGGCCGCGCGGACACCCGAACGCGGCCCCAGCGCUGCUCCGGCCGCCAGCUCCGUGCAGAAACCCACGGCUCCCGGCCCCGCGCGGCGCGGGUGAGAGCGCGGGGGGACCCCACCGGCUCCCGGCGCGCCGAGCUCAGCUUCGCCCCCCCCCCCCAAUUAUGUAAACCGCCCUUACCCGCCCCGCACCGAGAAGGCUGCGGGCAGACAGCGCUGCCGUCAUUUCCAGGCGCUAUAAAUAGCGCCCGAGCCUCCUCCCGCCAGCAAAGUUGCCUCGGUGGCCCCGCGCACACGGGAGACGGCGCCCCCCCCGCCCCCAGGCCGGGGCGCAGCACGGGGCCCCUCUCACAGCCGCUUUCCGCCCGUAACCCCCCCCCCACCCCUCCAAAAAAAUAAAUCCCAGCACAGGGAAGA